GGACUCUGAAGCAUGGGACAGAGACAGAUACAACUCAGGUUCUGGCAGAACGCUUCCUUAGCCUGGGAUCCAGAUGACAGCAGAGCUUCUUGAGUGCUUCUCUAUGGACUUCUGUAAGAAAGAAAAACAAGCCCCAUGAUUUUGUGUGUCUGGCAU
This 156-nucleotide long non-coding RNA is filed under the name Chinchilla lanigera (long-tailed chinchilla). RNAcentral describes it as "lncRNA (ENSCLAG00000024198.1)". The record is from RNAcentral. Lineage: Eukaryota; Metazoa; Chordata; Mammalia; Rodentia; Chinchillidae.